RNAcentral lists this ribosomal RNA (497 nucleotides) under uncultured bacterium. Its description in RNAcentral is "partial 16S ribosomal RNA". It matches the Rfam family "Bacterial small subunit ribosomal RNA", at positions 28 to 507 of the family's 1533-position model. The record is from RNAcentral.
GACGAACGCUGGCGGCGUGCCUAAUACAUGCAAGUCGAACGAACCGACGAGAAGCUUGCUUCUCUUAUCUUAGUGGCGGACGGGUGAGUAACACGUGAAUAACCUGCCUAUAAGACUGGGAUAACUGCUGGAAACCGUAGCUAAUACCGCAUAAUCUCAUGAUCCGCAUUGUUCAAAAGUGAAAGACGGUAAUUCUGUCACUUAUAGAUUCACCCGCGAUUCAUUAGCUAGUUGGUAAGCUGACGGCAUACGAAGGCAAUGAUGGACAGCCGACCUGAGAGGGUGGAGGGCCAGACGGGAAGUGAGACAGGGCCGCGACUCCUGCGGGGGGAAGCAGUCGGGAAUCUUGCGCAAGGAGGGAAAGCGUGACGGAGCACCGCGGGGUAAGGGAUGAUGCUGUUAGGACGGGAAGACGCUGUAAGUUGGGAGAAAGUAAUGUGUAGUUGACAGUGCACAUAAUGACGGUACCUAACCAGAAAGCCACGGCUAACUACGUG